RNAcentral lists this transfer RNA (71 nucleotides) under Camelus bactrianus (Bactrian camel). It matches the Rfam family "tRNA". From Rfam's summary of the family: Transfer RNA (tRNA) molecules are approximately 80 nucleotides in length. Their secondary structure includes four short double-helical elements and three loops (D, anti-codon, and T loops). Lineage: Eukaryota; Metazoa; Chordata; Mammalia; Artiodactyla; Camelidae. RNAcentral also lists the same sequence under 1 other name. The record is from Rfam by way of RNAcentral.
GAGGGUAUAGCUCAGUGGUAGAGCGCGUGCUCAGAGUGCAUGAGGUCCUGGGUGCAAUCCCCAGUACCUCA